This 435-nucleotide ribosomal RNA is filed under the name Tytthaspis sedecimpunctata. Its description in RNAcentral is "partial 16S ribosomal RNA". The record is from RNAcentral. Lineage: Eukaryota; Metazoa; Arthropoda; Insecta; Coleoptera; Coccinellidae.
CUCUUUUUGAAAAUAAUUUAAAGUAGGGCCUGCCCCAUGAUUUAUAUUGAAGGGCCGCAGUAUUUUGACUGUGCAAAGGUAGCAUAAUCAUUAGUUUUUUAAUUGAAAGCUUGUAUGAAUGGUUUGAUGAAAAAAUGACUUUCUUUAAUUUAAUAAAAAUGAAUUUUAUUUUUAAGUUAAAAAGCUUAAAUAAUUAUAAUAGACGAGAAGACCCUAUAGAGUUUAAUUUUUAAAAGUUAAUAAAUUUUUAGAAUUUUUUGAUUUCUUGAUUUUUAAGAAUUUGAUUGGGGUGAUUGAAAAAUUAAUAUAACUUUUUUUUUAUUAAUACAUUAAUUUAUGAAUAUUUGAUCCAAUAAAUUGAUUAUAAGAAUAAAUUACCUUAGGGAUAACAGCGUUAUUUUUUUUUAAAGUUCUAAUCGAAAAAAGAGAUUGCGA